RNAcentral lists this ribosomal RNA (870 nucleotides) under Sarea sp. 'coeloplata-2'. RNAcentral's name for it is "partial large subunit ribosomal RNA". It matches the Rfam family "Eukaryotic large subunit ribosomal RNA", at positions 95 to 979 of the family's 3401-position model. Lineage: Eukaryota; Fungi; Ascomycota; Sareomycetes; Sareales; Zythiaceae. The record is from RNAcentral.
GAAGCGGCAACAGCUCAAAUUUGAAAUCUGGCCCUUUCAAGGGUCCGAGUUGUAAUUUGUAGAGGAUGCUUCGGACGGGAGCGCGGGUCUAAGUUCCUUGGAACAGGACGUCAUAGAGGGUGAGAAUCCCGUAUGCGACCCAAUGCCUUUGUUCAUGUGAAGCUCCUUCGACGAGUCGAGUUGUUUGGGAAUGCAGCUCAAAAUGGGUGGUAAAUUUCAUCUAAAGCUAAAUACUGGCCAGAGACCGAUAGCGCACAAGUAGAGUGAUCGAAAGAUGAAAAGCACUUUGGAAAGAGAGUUAAAAAGUACGUGAAAUUGUUGAAAGGGAAGCGCUUGCAACCAGACUUGCUCGCGGUUGCUCAGCCGGUGUUCUCACCGGUGCACUCUUCCGCGAUCAGGCCAGCAUCGGUUUGGGCGGCUGGAUAAAGGCCCCGGGAAUGUAGCUCCUCUCGGGGAGUGUUAUAGCCCGAGGUGCAAUGCAGCCUGCCCGGACCGAGGACCGCGCUUCGGCUAGGAUGCUGGCGUAAUGGUUGUAAGCGACCCGUCUUGAAACACGGACCAAGGAGUCUAACAUCUAUGCGAGUGUUUGGGUGUCAAACCCAUACGCGUAAUGAAAGUGAACGGAGGUGGGAACCCUUAAGGGUGCACCAUCGACCGAUCCUGAUGUCUUCGGAUGGAUUUGAGUAAGAGCAUAGCUGUUGGGACCCGAAAGAUGGUGAACUAUGCCUGAAUAGGGUGAAGCCAGAGGAAACUCUGGUGGAGGCUCGCAGCGGUUCUGACGUGCAAAUCGAUCGUCAAAUUUGGGUAUAGGGGCGAAAGACUAAUCNAACCAUCUAGUAGCUGGUUCCUGCCGAAGUUUCCCCUCAGGAA